AUAAACAUGAGAGUUUGAUCCUGGCUCAGGACGAACGCUGGCGGCGUGCCUAACACAUGCAAGUCGAGCGAAGGGAGUACUACGGUACGAACUUAGCG
This 98-nucleotide ribosomal RNA is filed under the name Thermohydrogenium kirishiense. Its description in RNAcentral is "partial 16S ribosomal RNA". It matches the Rfam family "Bacterial small subunit ribosomal RNA", at positions 1 to 97 of the family's 1533-position model. The record is from RNAcentral. Lineage: Bacteria; Bacillati; Bacillota; Clostridia; Eubacteriales; Syntrophomonadaceae.